Molecule: long non-coding RNA, 208 nt
Filed under: Populus tremula
Lineage: Eukaryota; Viridiplantae; Streptophyta; Magnoliopsida; Malpighiales; Salicaceae
Description: long non-coding RNA (PTRE_LNC001226)
Source: RNAcentral
UAUGUUGGUCUCCACACAACUGAAAACUUAUUAAUUACUUGUGCUAUUUGGUUCUAAAAGUUUAUAACUCUACAUGUUUUGAUAAUUGAUUGUUGAUGUUUUCUGCAAAUUUGGGUUGAAAGUUUUUGGUGUGAUCCUUUUUAGUGAUUGCUUUUGGAAUCUAUGGAUGGAUAGUUGUGAGAAAAAAGUUUUAAUUUGAUAAUUGUGG